Molecule: long non-coding RNA, 746 nt
Filed under: Nicotiana tabacum (common tobacco)
Lineage: Eukaryota; Viridiplantae; Streptophyta; Magnoliopsida; Solanales; Solanaceae
Description: long non-coding RNA (NTAB_LNC008365)
Source: RNAcentral
UUCAAACUAGCCCUGCAUAUAUGAGAACAUGGAAUGCAAUUGAAAUUUCCUACUUCCCAACUGAAGAAAAGGGCAAUUGUUUUUCAAGAAGGUUGAAAAUUUUAGUUAACUUAUUUGGCAACUUUUUGGGUGCUAGAUUUCACUCUCUCUUUCUCUCUCUCUUGUGUGUGUGUGUGUCUCUUCUUAUUUCAGUUUUCUUGUUUUCAUUAUCUUCUUUCAUUUGUUAUGGCAGAUUGCUUUAUCAGUUCUGGAGUUAACUCAGGCCUCAGCUUCUAGUGGCAGAUUGCUUCUAGCAUUCUACUAUUUUGGUACUCCACUUCAUCGUGUAUCUGGAUUGUACUCAGCCUGAAUAUUAGCUUAUAUCUGUGAGCGGUCUCACGGAAUAUAUUGGCUAGGUUCAUCUGGCUUAGUGCUGAAGUGUUAAUGAGUAGCACAGGCAGUAUUGUGUUUGAAGGUGAUCAAGGCAAGUCAUUGCAAUCACUGUUGUUGGGUUAUAAGACUUGUCAAUCUGAGAUAUAAAAGUCGACUUAUUGGAUCUGGUGCAUUUCAGGAAUUUAUUUCGUUGAAGUUAUUCUUAGGGAAGUUCUUCCCAUGAGGUAGCUGGAGCUAUAAAAUAUCUUGUGGUUCACAAGCAAAAUGCUAUAUAAUUGGAAGAAGCCUCACAUUAUUUUCUCUACAGUGCUUGAGGUUGUUUAUGUUGCAAUAUAACUAGCAAUUAUGGAACAACUAUCAGAGAAAAAGUUCCC